Molecule: ribosomal RNA, 301 nt
Filed under: uncultured bacterium
Lineage: Bacteria
Description: partial 16S ribosomal RNA
Rfam family: Bacterial small subunit ribosomal RNA
Source: RNAcentral
CAGUCGCCGCGGGAAUACGAAGGGGGCUAGCGUUGCUCGGAAUGACUGGGCGUAAAGGGCGCGUAGGCGGAUGGCUUUGUCAGAUGUGAAAUUCCAGGGCUUAACCUUGGGGCUGCAUUUGAGACGGGUUGUCUAGAGUGGAGAAGAGGGUCGUGGAAUUCCCAGUGUAGAGGUGAAAUUCGUAGAUAUUGGGAAGAACACCGGUGGCGAAGGCGGCGACCUGGUCUUUUACUGACGCUGAGGCGCGAAAGCGUGGGGAGCAAACAGGAUUAGAUACCCCAGUAGUCCCUGUCUCUUAUAC